Molecule: long non-coding RNA, 1239 nt
Filed under: Carassius auratus (goldfish)
Lineage: Eukaryota; Metazoa; Chordata; Actinopteri; Cypriniformes; Cyprinidae
Description: lncRNA (ENSCARG00000009519.1)
Source: RNAcentral
CUCGGCUCAAACUGUAACAAAAGGAAAACCUUUUUUUUUUUUAUUAUUUGCUGAGGUGCUUUUUCCUGCACAGAGAGGAAGUUGACCCUCUGCAGUUCUCAUCACAGUACGCACCGGACCGGAUCUGUAAUGGAAAGCCAGCGUUGGGACGCCCCAUAUGUUCCCGAUGGACAGGAAGUCUGGGGUACAGCAGGAGGGCUGGGACAGUAAUGACUUCAGCCUGUCAUUCUAUAGCAGCAUCCAUGACGGACUCAUUAAUACACAUCUGGGGUCAUUAUGAAUCGGACCUUUAUUAUUCCACUUCCACUUCAAAGCAGCAGGCACUGUAGAGGCGUUUACGUCAGUGGGGUGGCACGCGCCAAAAAAGACUAAAGACUCCGACAUGUGCAAUGCAAAGCGCUUCCAGCGGCUGCUCAUCUUUUGUACUUUCAGGGAGAAAAAUUACAGAAGGACUACAGGUCAUCAUCAAUCAUAAUCAAGGGCAUAGACUUUAGAUGGGGUGCUAGGGACCAUUUAGUAAUCCAGCGACUACUAAACAAUUCAAUAUAUACAGAAGUGGCCAAAAUUAUUAGAAGGCUAGUAUUUCACAAAAAAAGGGUUUUAAGUCAGUUAUUUCGAUCUCUUGCUUUAGUGUGUCAGUAGGAAAUAUCAGUUCACAUUUCUAAACAUUAAUUUUGCCAAUAAUCCAGUGAGAUUUUUAUGCUCCACACAGAGAUCUGAUCUGAUCAUCAUCAGUCUGUCUGGAAUAACAUGAAGAAACAGAACAAACUGAGACAGACUCAAUCCAGAAGAACUGUGCCAACGUCUCCGAAAUGCUUCAAGAAACCUGCAAAGCUACAGUAUGUGAAAAGUUGUAGGCACUUGUGUAAAAAUGCUGGAAAACAAGGAUGUUGUCAAAAAUAAUGUCAUAAAUAGAUUUUCUUUAUCAAUUAACUUCUGUUAAGUAAAUUGAAUCAACAUUUGUCUGAGCGUCCUUUGCGUUUAAAGCAGCUCUAGGUGCACUUGCACAUCGUUGUUCAGGGAGCUUUGCAGGUGAGUUUCAUGAAGUAUCUUUGGAAGCAUACUGUAGACCAUGAUGUGUUUAUGUACAUUGAUUAGUAAAACAUCAGCAAAACAACCAAAAAACACAGACUUCAAAACCAAGUGGGCUAGUAGUCUAUUGCAGUUGCAUUGCUGUUGUACCAUUUUAGCAUAAUAUUUGCUUGUAAUCAAUUGAGUCCUUAAUUUAAAAGUAUAAAU